UGAAAAACUAUGAAGAGAAGAGUAAAUAUAGGAGGUAGUCCUAGCGAGUCGACGAUGGUGGAAGGUCGAUACGAAACCUAUAUCGAAUAACAUCUCGGAGUUUCUAACCGAAAUCUAAAUUAGAGAGUAGGCUUAGACGGGUUUACACCGUUAUGAUGUAAACAGUGUAAAAAGUACUUGCACUGGUAUGAGGUGGUCAGUUUUGACAAUUAGGGUGGCACCGCGAAAGUAUAGUCUUUCGUCCCUUAU
RNAcentral lists this non-coding RNA (249 nucleotides) under Alkalithermobacter thermoalcaliphilus. RNAcentral's name for it is "Clostridium paradoxum T-box sequence". It matches the Rfam family "T-box leader". Rfam says of the family: Uncharged tRNA acts as the effector for transcription antitermination of genes in the T-box leader family. The record is from RNAcentral. Lineage: Bacteria; Bacillati; Bacillota; Clostridia; Peptostreptococcales; Tepidibacteraceae.